UCCUGGUUUCCCAGGCAGUCCCAUCAGAGUGCCUUCUUGCGAAGUAGCAACUGAUAGCAGGGGUUGCGCUCGUUAUAGGACUUAACCCAACAUCUCACGACACGAGCUGACGACAGCCAUGCAGCACCUGUGCAAAUGUCCAGAGUUACCCCUGAAAAGCUACAUCUCUGUAGCGGUCAUAUGCAUGUCAAACCUAGGUAAGGUUCCUCGCGUAGUGUCGAAUUAAACCACAUGUUCCACCGCUUGUGCGGACCCCCGUCAAUUCCUUUGAGUUUUAAUCUUGCGACCGUAGUCCCCAGGCGGAUCACUUAUCGCGUUAGCUACGACACUAGUCUCGCAAAGCAAGACUAACGUCUAGUGAUCAUCGUUUACAGCGUGGACUAC
RNAcentral lists this unclassified non-coding RNA (384 nucleotides) under uncultured bacterium. RNAcentral describes it as "contains 16S-23S intergenic spacer region". The record is from RNAcentral.